This 465-nucleotide ribosomal RNA is filed under the name Vreelandella stevensii. Its description in RNAcentral is "partial 16S ribosomal RNA". It matches the Rfam family "Bacterial small subunit ribosomal RNA", at positions 338 to 795 of the family's 1533-position model. Lineage: Bacteria; Pseudomonadati; Pseudomonadota; Gammaproteobacteria; Oceanospirillales; Halomonadaceae. The record is from RNAcentral.
CCUACGGGGGGCUGCAGUGGGGAAUAUUGGACAAUGGGGGGAACCCCGAUCCAGCCAUGCCGCGUGUGUGAAGAAGGCCCACGGGUUGUAAAGCACUUUCAGUGAGGAAGAACGCCUGGUGGUUAAUACCCAUCAGGAAAGACAUCACUCACAGAAGAAGCACCGGCUAACUCCGUGCCAGCAGCCGCGGUAAUACGGAGGGUGCGAGCGUUAAUCGGAAUUACUGGGCGUAAAGCGCGCGUAGGUGGCUUGAUAAGCCGGUUGUGAAAGCCCCGGGCUCAACCUGGGAACGGCAUCCGGAACUGUCAAGCUAGAGUGCAGGAGAGGAAGGUAGAAUUCCCGGUGUAGCGGUGAAAUGCGUAGAGAUCGGGAGGAAUACCAGUGGCGAAGGCGGCCUUCUGGACUGACACUGACACUGAGGUGCGAAAGCGUGGGUAGCAAACAGGAUUAGAUACCCUAGUAGUC